Molecule: ribosomal RNA, 253 nt
Filed under: uncultured bacterium
Lineage: Bacteria
Description: partial 16S ribosomal RNA
Rfam family: Bacterial small subunit ribosomal RNA
Source: RNAcentral
UACGUAGGGUGCAAGCGUUGUCCGGAAUUAUUGGGCGUAAAGAGCUCGUAGGCGGUUUGUCGCGUCUGCUGUGAAAACCGGAGGCUCAACCUCCGGCCUGCAGUGGGUACGGGCAGACUAGAGUGCGGUAGGGGAGAUUGGAAUUCCUGGUGUAGCGGUGGAAUGCGCAGAUAUCAGGAAGAACACCCGUGGCGAAGGCGGCGCUCUGGGACGGUACUGACGCUGAGACGCGAAAGCGUGGGGAGCGAACAGG